AACGGCCGCGGGUAUUUUGACCGUGCAAAGGUAGCAUAAUCAUUAGUUCUUUAAUAGGGGACUGGUAUGAAUGGCUUGACGAAUUAUUAACUGUCUCAUUUUUAUAUAUUAAAAUUUAAUUUUUGAGUUAAAAAGCUCAUAUUUUGCUGGAGGACGAGAAGACCCUAUAGAGCUUUAUAUAUUAUUUCUUUAUUUUGUUGGGGUUAAUUUUUUAUUAUAAAGUUAUAAUUUAUUUUGUUGGGGUGACAGUAUUAUAUAAGAAACUUUUUUAUUUUAUUUACAUUGAUUUAUGGUAUUUUGAUCCAUUAUUAUUGAUUAUUAGUUUAAGUUACCUUAGGGAUAACAGCGUAAUCUUCUUUUGAAGUUCUUAUUUACAAGAAGGCUUGCGACCUCGAUGUUGGAUUAAGAUUAUUAUUUGGUGCAGUGGCUAAGUAAAUAGGUCUGUUCGAC
This 450-nucleotide ribosomal RNA is filed under the name Phylloneura westermanni. RNAcentral's name for it is "partial 16S ribosomal RNA". It matches the Rfam family "Bacterial large subunit ribosomal RNA", at positions 1926 to 2585 of the family's 2925-position model. The record is from RNAcentral. Lineage: Eukaryota; Metazoa; Arthropoda; Insecta; Odonata; Platycnemididae.